CUACGGGAGGCAGCAGUGGGGAAUUUUGGACAAUGGGGGCAACCCUGAUCCAGCCAUGCCGCGUGCGGGAAGAAGGCCUUCGGGUUGUAAACCGCUUUUGUCAGGGAAGAAAUCUUCUGAGUUAACACCUCGGGAGGAUGACGGUACCUGAAGAAUAAGCACCGGCUAACUACGUGCCAGCAGCCGCGGUAAUACGUAGGGUGCAAGCGUUAAUCGGAAUUACUGGGCGUAAAGCGUGCGCAGGCGGUUAUGUAAGACAGAGGUGAAAUCCCCGGGCUCAACCUGGGAACUGCCUUUGUGACUGCAUAGCUGGAGUGCGGCAGAGGGGGAUGGAAUUCCGCGUGUAGCAGUGAAAUGCGUAGAUAUGCGGAGGAACACCGAUGGCGAAGGCAAUCCCCUGGGCCUGCACUGACGCUCAUGCACGAAAGCGUGGGGAGCAAACAGGAUUAGAUACCCCGGUAGUCC
Molecule: ribosomal RNA, 465 nt
Filed under: uncultured bacterium
Lineage: Bacteria
Description: bacterial SSU rRNA
Rfam family: Bacterial small subunit ribosomal RNA
Source: RNAcentral